GUACUGACGAAGAGUCCCAAACAGGGACGAAACAGCUGUCCAGUAC
Non-coding RNA from Trichobilharzia regenti, 46 nucleotides. The record is from Rfam. Lineage: Eukaryota; Metazoa; Platyhelminthes; Trematoda; Strigeidida; Schistosomatidae.